Non-coding RNA from Drosophila subpulchrella, 73 nucleotides. The record is from the annotation of a RefSeq genome assembly. NCBI's taxonomy places the organism in Eukaryota, Metazoa, Arthropoda, Insecta, Diptera, Drosophilidae.
GGCCGUGUAGCCUAACGGAUAUGGCGUCGGACUUCGAAUCCGGAGGUUGCGGGUUCGAGUCCCGUCAUGGUCA